GAGGCAGCUUGACAGUAGUUCCACACUCCAAUACUUGAUCUCCAUUGAGAGACAUCAAUCAUCUUGUACUCUAUAAGUAUGAAGGACAAAGUCAAAAUUAGAAAGCAGGACUUUAUGAAGAGAAAACUCUUUCUGCUAAAACCACAAGCUAGAGGAAGUCCAGGGCUGUUAUAAUAACAUUCAUGUGAUCUAUGACACUACUGCUAAAAUUAUAGUAAUAUUUUGUCAAUGAUGAUGCUCCUUUUCUUCACAC
Amphimedon queenslandica is the source of this 253-nucleotide long non-coding RNA. RefSeq lists it as uncharacterized. NCBI's taxonomy places the organism in Eukaryota, Metazoa, Porifera, Demospongiae, Haplosclerida, Niphatidae. The record is from RefSeq and is a predicted model, not a curated record. The transcript is spliced from 2 exons.